Molecule: transfer RNA, 73 nt
Filed under: Candidatus Eiseniibacteriota bacterium
Lineage: Bacteria; Candidatus Eiseniibacteriota
Description: tRNA-Phe
Rfam family: tRNA
About the family: Transfer RNA (tRNA) molecules are approximately 80 nucleotides in length.
Source: RNAcentral
GCAGCCCUAGCUCAGUUGGUAGAGCACGUGACUGAAAAUCACGGGGUCCCCAGUUCGAUUCUGGGGGGCUGCA